Pteropus alecto (black flying fox) is the source of this 120-nucleotide non-coding RNA. NCBI's taxonomy places the organism in Eukaryota, Metazoa, Chordata, Mammalia, Chiroptera, Pteropodidae. The record is from Rfam.
GUCUAUGGCCAUACUACCCUGAACAAGCCCAACCCCGUCUGAUCUGGGAAGCUAAGCAGGGUCGGGCCUGGUUAGUAUUUGGAUGGGAGACCACCUAGGAAGACCAGGUGCUUGUAGGCA